This 1156-nucleotide long non-coding RNA is filed under the name Capra hircus (goat). RNAcentral's name for it is "lncRNA (ENSCHIG00010016336.1)". The record is from RNAcentral. Lineage: Eukaryota; Metazoa; Chordata; Mammalia; Artiodactyla; Bovidae.
AUGAAAGUCUCAGGUUUAGCUUUAUUCAUCAUGUGGUCAAGAGGACCACACUGGAGGCUUGUUAAAAAUAAUAUGAAAGUUGAAAGAAUGGCCCACUGCCAUUGUUGUGCAGUGUCUUACCCAAGUGGAAACCAGCACAUCGUAAUUAAAAAACUAGAAAUCUGCUUUCUUUUAAUCUAUGAAAUUUUAAAUCUUUUAAUCAAAUUCUGACCCUCUGUCUCCCCUAAAAAUUUCACUGGGAUUUUGAUUGANNNNNNNNNNNNNNNNNNNNNNNNNNNGGGGGGGGUGGAAUCUGCAUCAUUCCAAUAUUUUGUCUUUCCACCCAGCAGUACGGUGUACUUCUCUAGUCACUCAAUUCUGUCAGAAAAAUUUCAGUGUUAUUUAGUUUUCAUUUAGUUUACUUCAGGAUAUUUUUGUUGUUGCUGCUGUUAAUAAACACUAUCUGUAAAAAUAUUUUUCUAAUGGCUUGUGCUGGUAUGUAGAAACACUAUUAAUUUCAGGGCUAUUGAUUCUGUAGUUGGCCAUGUUACUAAACUCAUUUAAUGGGUCUAAUACCCUUAUCUAUCCUUUCACUCAUUUUGUAAAUACUCAUGGAGUGCUUACACUGUGCAACGCACUAUUCUAGGUCUUGGAAGUAAGCAGUUAAAAAAAAAAAAACCUGUUCUCAAGAUCUUUACAUUCUACUGAGAGAAAACACUGAACAAAUAAAUAUAUGCCAGGUGGUGCUAAGUGCUAAGAAGGUGGGAAAGCAUAGUGAGAGGAGGGAAACCGACCAUAAAAAAACACUACUUUGGAUAAUGUGUUUAAAUAAGCCCCCUCUGAUAAGUUGAACUUUGAGGAGAGACCUAAAAUGAUGCUUUUCUUGGGUUUUCCCAGUAGAUAUUCAUGUCAUCAUAUGCCCCCCGCACCCCACCCCACAGCAGGGCCCCAUGCUCCUGGAAGGCUGGCUGUCCAGCGGCAGUGAUACCAAAGAUCUAGCCUGUGAAGGAGGCUUCUAGGGUUCUCAGUGGCCGUGUUUCAGCACUGUCAGUGUUCAAAGAUUUAAAUAACGGCUCCGGAAGUCUUUCCAGCCGCAACCCCACGCGGAUUUUAGAGGUUCACAGAGUUCAGGGUGCUGCUGGCCAGUUUACUCUUCCCUUCCCCUCCCAAAUCACGG